RNAcentral lists this ribosomal RNA (490 nucleotides) under uncultured bacterium. RNAcentral's name for it is "partial 16S ribosomal RNA". It matches the Rfam family "Bacterial small subunit ribosomal RNA", at positions 30 to 507 of the family's 1533-position model. The record is from RNAcentral.
AUUGAACGCUGGCGGCAGGCCUAACACAUGCAAGUCGAACGGUAACAGGAAGCAGCUUGCUGCUUCGCUGACGAGUGGCGGAUGGGUGAGUAAUGUCUGGGAAACUGCCUGAUGGAGGGGGAUAACUACUGGAAACGGUAGCUAAUACCGCAUAACGUCGCAAGACCAAAGAGGGGGACCUUAGGGCCUCUUGCCAUCGGAUGUGCCCAGAUGGGAUUAGCUAGUAGGCGGGGUAACGGCUCACCUAGGCGACGAUCCCUAGCUGGUCUGAGAGGAUGACCAGCCACACUGGAACUGAGACACGGUCCAGACUCCUACGGGAGGCAGCAGUGGGGAAUAUUGCACAAUGGGCGCAAUCCUGAUGCAGCCAUGCCGCGUGUAUGAAGAAGGCCUUCGGGUUGUAAAGUACUUUCAGCGGGGAGGAAGGGAGUAAAGUUAAUACCUUUGCUCAUUGACGUUACCCGCAGAAGAAGCACCGGCUAGCUCCGUG